Molecule: ribosomal RNA, 498 nt
Filed under: uncultured bacterium
Lineage: Bacteria
Description: bacterial SSU rRNA
Rfam family: Bacterial small subunit ribosomal RNA
Source: RNAcentral
AGGGUUCGAUUCUGGCUCAGAACGAACGCUGGUGGCGUGUCUUAUACAUGCAAGUCGAGCGAGGCAGCAAUGCCGAGCGGCGAACGGGUGAGUAACGCGUAAGCAAUCUGCCCCAUAUCAGGAAAUACCCGUGCCAACGCGCGGUUAAUGUCCAGGAGAGUGGCCCCCUGCAUGGGGGGUUGACUAGAGAUUUAUCGGUAUGGGAUGAGCUUGCGUCCGAUUAGCUAGUUGGCGGGCAACGGCCCACCAAGGCGACGAUCGGUAGCCGGCCUGAGAGGGUGAUCGGCCACAUUGGGACUGAGAUACGGCCCAGACUCCUACGGGAGGCAGCAGUAGGGAAUAUUGCACAAUGGGGGAAACCCUGAUGCAGCAACGCCAACGUGUGGGAAGAAGCAUUUCGGUGUGUAAACCACUGUCAUGAGGGAAUAAGGCCCGCCUCCGGGCGGGAUUGAACGUACCUUGAGAGGAAGCACCGGCAAACUUCGUGCCAGCAGCGGC